Long non-coding RNA from Esox lucius (northern pike), 331 nucleotides. RefSeq lists it as uncharacterized. NCBI's taxonomy places the organism in Eukaryota, Metazoa, Chordata, Actinopteri, Esociformes, Esocidae. The record is from RefSeq and is a predicted model, not a curated record. The transcript is spliced from 4 exons.
CAGCACAUGGCACAAAGAUGAACUGUCAAUGCCGGCGGUUCCAGUUCUAGGAGCAACGCGGACAGCAUCGCCAAGAUAUUAGCCAGCACGGGACAAGUGUUGAGACCGCAAGAGAUUAAGUCCGUCGGGACGCCGAUCAUAUCAACAGGCUACAGUCUGAAAAUAUUCUCUGGUUCCUCUCCGAUACUCGUGGCUUCCGAUUAGCCACAAGGAGUAGUGAGGCAAUGUGGGAAAGUCGACUUGUGAUGUAGGAACACACCAUCAAAAUAAACUGAAAUAAACUAUUCUUGAGAUUAUUCUAAAGCAAAACGUAUAAAGGAUGCAAGGACUA